AUUCUGUGAUGAGGGCACUUCCGUAAUAAUUCUUUGUACCUUUCUCAUGUCUCAUGCAAGGAAUCAUCAUUCAUUUGUUUUGGAAAGCAGUGAUCUCGUUCCUCAACUU
Gossypium arboreum is the source of this 109-nucleotide non-coding RNA. Lineage: Eukaryota; Viridiplantae; Streptophyta; Magnoliopsida; Malvales; Malvaceae. The record is from Rfam.